GACGUCAUCGGUGACGCCUCGGAGUCGGCGCUGCUGAAGUUCGCGGAAGUGACGUCGGGGUCGGUGGCGGCCGCCAGGGGGCGCUACCCGAAGGUGGCGGAGCUGCCGUUCAACUCGAGCAACAAAUUCCAGGUGUCGGUGCACGAGGCCGGCCCCCAGCAGCUCCUGGUGCUCAAGGGCGCCCCCGAGCGGGUCCUCGAGCGCUGCCGGGGGGCGCUGCGGGGGGGGGAGGAGCGGCCGCUGGACCCCGAGUGGAGGCGGAGCCUGGAGGGGGCGUGUCUGGAGCUGGGGGGGCGGGGCGAGAGGGUGCUCGGUGAUCAUGGUGACCGGUGACCACCCGGUGACGGCCAAGGCCAUCGCGGCGCAGGUCGGGAUCAUCUCCGAGGGCAGCGAGACCCCCGAGGACGUGGCGGCGCGCCUGCACCUGCCCCUCGAGACAGGUGCAGCCCAGCCAGGCGCGCGCCCGCGUGGUGACGGGCUCGGAGCUGGCGGCGCUGGCCCCGGGCGCGCUCGAGGAGCUGCUCCGCGCCCACCCCGAGAUGGUUUUCGCCCGCACGUCGCCGCAGCA
Passer montanus (Eurasian tree sparrow) is the source of this 568-nucleotide long non-coding RNA. RefSeq lists it as uncharacterized. The transcript is spliced from 4 exons. NCBI's taxonomy places the organism in Eukaryota, Metazoa, Chordata, Aves, Passeriformes, Passeridae. The record is from RefSeq and is a predicted model, not a curated record.